Cylas formicarius (sweet potato weevil) is the source of this 1503-nucleotide RNA transcript. RefSeq lists it as uncharacterized. The record is from RefSeq and is a predicted model, not a curated record. NCBI's taxonomy places the organism in Eukaryota, Metazoa, Arthropoda, Insecta, Coleoptera, Brentidae. The transcript is spliced from 3 exons.
AUUUGCUUUUUCCUAUUUAGCUAAAAAGAUUAAAUAAUUAAUUAUAUAUAACCAUAAAAAUGUGUUUAUUCGAUAACGAACUGAGGGCAACAGGUUGUAAAAACAGUAUACGUUCGGAGAACUCUACUUAAAACCGUUACCUGCUUUCAAAAACCUACCUAAAGAAAAGUUUAAACAUUUAAACACCGCGUAUAUAAUGCGUAUCUACCGACAACUUUAUUCGACAAACGAUUGUGGGUGUCGAUACGUAGUGUCUGCAAUGGUUCGCACUUCUAAAAAUAAGACGUUCUAAAUAUAGAGAUGCUUCCGUUACGUUUGUGCGUGCUUUAUACGCGAAAUUAGUCGCGGGCCGUCAUGGAAAGUCGAAUAAACGCGGAACUGAUGUUUGAGUGUCUGAUUUACCUAAACAUGUUUUACUUCCCAGUAUUCGCUACUUGCGAAACCAUAAUAACGGUUGCCAAAUACUUUUACGCCGGCAUUUUCACACCCAACAUUAAGCAAGAUGCGGCCGUCAUCUUCACCCGGAUCGGAUGCGAGCUGACCAAAAUUUUACUUUACAGGAAGUUCAAGGAGGAAAAGAGAAGCCUAAUUACUGCAAUAGCGGUAUUCUUCACGUGUAUCACUAUAGCAGGAGUUGCGUACACUUUCGCGAUACAAACUCCCGCGUUAAAACUGGAGCACAUUCUGAGUUCGCUGACGAUCAUGCUGGCAGUCACCGAAGUGACCUUUGGAAUGCUGCAACUGAUAAACGCUUGCUGCAGGAGAGAUUCGUAUUACUAAAUAAACAAUGUGCGUUACUACUUUUUGUUUAUUUAAGCAUACCGAGAUUUCAACAAGAAGUUAUUCACUAUUUUAUAGCAAAACUAUGGUUACUUCCUCACAAACUUUUUAUAAUGCUCCAAACAUGAUUGAAGUUUCUCUAGCAGCUUCCAUUUAAAUCUAGACUAAAAAUUAAAAUUCCGGCAAAAUCCUUGUGUUCGUUUUAUUAUGGGUCUUCGAAAAUAUGACUGUGUAUCUGCUGCAUAUCAUCAACUUAAUUGGUUUAAAAUGGAACAAAGAAGAGCUUUUCAUUUCAACGUAUUCGUUAUGAAAAUUAUCCAUAACCUCGAUUCACCCACUUUGCUGAGAGAGCGGCUUACUCCUGGGAGUACUAUCCAUUCUGUGAAUGUAAGAUACAGGUACAGACUAACGAUGCCACAUCAUCAGAGUGCCUUGUUUCGUAGAUCUUUCACAUUCAACGCAAUUCGUGUUUUCAAUUCUUUGUCACAGGAGUUCAGUAACUAAAAAAAGGUACAAAGAUCAUUUGUUACAAAUACAGUUUUCCUAAUAAUGUGAUGCUAAUUAGGUUAUUAGCAAGGGAUUAUAUUGAGUUAUCAAAUUCUUUAUCUUCAAUUGCAUUUUCUAUAGUGUGUAGUAGAAUCUUGUUGUUCUUCCGAUUUUGCAGGUAUUUUUCAUAUUUUAUUUGAUGUUGAUGUUGAUUUUUAUUUCAAUAAAUAGUGCGCA